AAAAAAGCAAAAGUAAGAAAGAGAGAGAAAAAAAAUCAUUAAUAAAAGUCUCCGGCACCGGCAAUGUCGUCGGUACCGACUCACCGGCGAGCAGAGUACUGUUGAGUUGAGCUGAAAAAGGAAGAAGGAAAUGCGUGAAACUGUGAAAAAACCUUGUGUUGUUGCUGCUGCUACUGUUGUUGUUGCUGUUGCUACUACUAUGACGAAGAAAACUAGUCCGGAAGAAGAUGGGGACGUGAUAAUCAUCCCUCCGUUGUGUACAUCAGCUAAUCGGUCAAGAUUACAAGCUGGGUCACGUCGCAUUACGCCGACGAAUGAUGAUAUGGCUGAGCUCCGGCAGCUGCCGAACGGAGAUCUGUAUACUGGGACAUUUUUGGGAAAAGUGCCUCAUGGUAAUGGGAAGUAUUUAUGGUCUGAUGGGUGUAUGUAUGAAGGUGAGUGGAGAAGAGGGAAGGCGAGUGGUAAAGGGAAGUUUUCGUGGCCUUCAG
This 488-nucleotide unclassified non-coding RNA is filed under the name Hevea brasiliensis (rubber tree). The record is from RNAcentral. Lineage: Eukaryota; Viridiplantae; Streptophyta; Magnoliopsida; Malpighiales; Euphorbiaceae.